CACGUAGGGGGCAAGCGUUGUCCGGAUUUAUUGGGCGUAAAGAGCUCGUAGGCGGUUCGGUAAGUUGGGUGUGAAACCUCCAGGCUCAACCUGGAGACGCCACCCGAUACUGCUGUGACUAGAGUCCGGUAGGGGAGCGUGGAAUUCCUGGUGUAGCGGUGAAAUGCGCAGAUAUCAGGAGGAACACCGGUGGCGAAGGCGGUUCUCUGGGCAUGUCCUGACGCUGAGGAGCGAAAGUGUGGGGAGCGAACAGG
This 254-nucleotide ribosomal RNA is filed under the name uncultured bacterium. RNAcentral describes it as "partial 16S ribosomal RNA". It matches the Rfam family "Bacterial small subunit ribosomal RNA", at positions 524 to 776 of the family's 1533-position model. The record is from RNAcentral.